UACGUAGGGACCAAGCGUUGUUCGGAUUUACUGGGCGUAAAGGGCGCGUAGGCGGCAAUUCAAGUCAUCUGUGAAAUCUCCGAGCUUAACUCGGAACGGUCAGAUGAUACUGCUUUGCUAGAGUGCGGAAGGGGCAAUCGGAAUUCUUGGUGUAGCGGUGAAAUGCGUAGAUAUCGGGAGGAACACCUGAGGCGAAGGCGGGCUACUGGGCCGAUACUGACGCUGAUGCGCGAAAGCCAGGGGAGCGAACGGG
This 253-nucleotide ribosomal RNA is filed under the name uncultured prokaryote. Its description in RNAcentral is "partial 16S ribosomal RNA". It matches the Rfam family "Bacterial small subunit ribosomal RNA", at positions 524 to 776 of the family's 1533-position model. The record is from RNAcentral.